AUUGAACGCUGGCGGCAUGCUUUACACAUGCAAGUCGAACGGCAGCGCGGGCUUCGGCCUGGCGGCGAGUGGCGAACGGGUGAGUAAUGCAUCGGAACGUGCCCAGUAGUUGGGGAUAGCCCGGCGAAAGCCGGAUUAAUACCGCAUACGACCUGAGGGUGAAAGCGGGGGACCGAAAGGCCUCGCACUAUUGGAGCGGCCGAUGUCGGAUUAGCUAGUUGGUGGGGUAAAGGCUUACCAAGGCGACGAUCCGUAGCUGGUCUGAGAGGACGACCAGCCACACUGGGACUGAGACACGGCCCAGACUCCUACGGGAGGCAGCAGUGGGGAAUUUUGGACAAUGGGGGCAACCCUGAUCCAGCCAUGCCGCGUGCGGGAAGAAGGCCUUCGGGUUGUAAACCGCUUUUGUUCGGGAAGAAAUCCUCUGGGCUAAUACCCCGGGGGGAUGACGGUACCGGAAGAAUAAGCACCGGCUAACUACGUG
This 484-nucleotide ribosomal RNA is filed under the name uncultured bacterium. Its description in RNAcentral is "partial 16S ribosomal RNA". It matches the Rfam family "Bacterial small subunit ribosomal RNA", at positions 29 to 507 of the family's 1533-position model. The record is from RNAcentral.